GCUAUACAUGCAGUCGAGCGGAUCUCUUCGGAGAUCAGCGGCGGACGGGUGAGUAACACGUGGGCAACCUGCCUGUAAGACUGGGAUAACUCCGGGAAACCGGAGCUAAUACCGGAUACUAUGUCAAACCGCAUGGUUUGACAUUCAAAGACGGUUUCGGCUGUCACUUACAGAUGGGCCCGCGGCGCAUUAGCUAGUUGGUGAGGUAAUGGCUCACCAAGGCGACGAUGCGUAGCCGACCUGAGAGGGUGAUCGGCCACACUGGGACUGAGACACGGCCCAGACUCCUACGGGAGGCAGCAGUAGGGAAUCUUCCGCAAUGGACGAAAGUCUGACGGAGCAACGCCGCGUGAGUGAUGAAGGUUUUCGGAUCGUAAAACUCUGUUGUCAGGGAAGAACAAGUGCCGGAGUAACUGCCGGCGCCUUGACGGUACCUGACCAGAAAGCCACGGCUAACUACGUGCCAGCAGCCGCGGUAAUACGUAGGUGGCAAGCGUUGUCCGGAAUUAUUGGGCGUAAAGCGCGCGCAGGCGGUUUCUUAAGUCUGAUGUGAAAGCCCCCGGCUCAACCGGGGAGGGUCAUUGGAAACUGGGAAACUUGAGUGCAGAAGAGGAGAGUGGAAUUCCACGUGUAGCGGUGAAAUGCGUAGAGAUGUGGAGGAACACCAGUGGCGAAGGCGACUCUCUGGUCUGUAACUGACGCUGAGGCGCGAAAGCGU
Molecule: ribosomal RNA, 718 nt
Filed under: Metabacillus indicus
Lineage: Bacteria; Bacillati; Bacillota; Bacilli; Caryophanales; Bacillaceae
Description: bacterial SSU rRNA
Rfam family: Bacterial small subunit ribosomal RNA
Source: RNAcentral